Molecule: ribosomal RNA, 477 nt
Filed under: uncultured bacterium
Lineage: Bacteria
Description: bacterial SSU rRNA
Rfam family: Bacterial small subunit ribosomal RNA
Source: RNAcentral
GAUCAACGCUGGCGGCGUGCCUAAUGCAUGCAAGUCGCACGGGCGGGGCUUCGGUCCCGUGCCGUGGCGAACGGCUGAGGAACACGUGCGUACCUGCCCUACCGUGGGGAAUACCGGCUGGAAACAGCCGACAAUACCGCGUACGCUCGCCGGGGUAAGACCCGGCGAGGAAAGCGCUUCGGCGCGCGGUGGGAGGGGCGCGCGGCCCAUCAGGUCGCUGGCGGGGUAACGGCCCACCAGGCCAUUGACGGGUCGCUGGUCUGAGAGGACGGCCAGCCAGACUGGGACUGAGACACGGCCCAGACACCUACGGGUGGCAGCAGCAAGGAAUCUUCCCCAAUGGGGGCAACCCUGAGGGAGCAACGCCGCGUGGAGGAUGACGGCUUUCGGGUUGUAAACUCCUUUUCGGGGGGACGAAACGGACGGUACCCCCGGAAUAAGCCCCGGCUAACUCUGUGCCAGCCGCCGCCGUAACAC